This 513-nucleotide ribosomal RNA is filed under the name uncultured bacterium. RNAcentral describes it as "bacterial SSU rRNA". It matches the Rfam family "Bacterial small subunit ribosomal RNA", at positions 28 to 526 of the family's 1533-position model. The record is from RNAcentral.
GACGAACGCUGGCGGCGUGCCUAAUACAUGCAAGUCGAGCGAAUCUUUAAAGCUUGCUUUAAAGAUUAGCGGCGGACGGGUGAGUAACACGUGGGCAACCUGCCUGUAAGACUGGGAUAACUUCGGGAAACCGGAGCUAAUACCGGAUAAUCCUUUUCCUCACAUGAGGAAAAGCUGAAAGAUGGUUUCGGCUAUCACUUACAGAUGGGCCCGCGGCGCAUUAGCUAGUUGGUGAGGUAACGGCUCACCAAGGCGACGAUGCGUAGCCGACCUGAGAGGGUGAUCGGCCACACUGGGACUGAGACACGGCCCAGACUCCUACGGGAGGCAGCAGUAGGGAAUCUUCCGCAAUGGACGAAAGUCUGACGGAGCAACGCCGCGUGAGCGAAGAAGGCCUUCGGGUCGUAAAGCUCUGUUGUUAGGGAAGAACAAGUAUCGGAGUAACUGCCGGUACCUUGACGGUACCUAACCAGAAAGCCACGGCUAACUACGUGCCAGCAGCCGCAGUAAAAC